RNAcentral lists this ribosomal RNA (587 nucleotides) under uncultured euryarchaeote. RNAcentral's name for it is "bacterial SSU rRNA". It matches the Rfam family "Archaeal small subunit ribosomal RNA", at positions 851 to 1441 of the family's 1478-position model. Lineage: Archaea; Methanobacteriati; Methanobacteriota. The record is from RNAcentral.
GAAACUUAAAGGAAUUGGCGGGGGAGCACAGCAACGGGUGGAGCGUGCGGUUUAAUUGGAUUCAACGCCGGAAAGCUCACCGGAGGCGACGGCUACAUGAAGGCCAGGCUGAUGACCUUGCCUGAUUUUCCGAGAAGUGGUGCAUGGCCGCCGUCAGUUCGUACCGUAAGGCGUUCUGUUAAGUCAGACAACGAACGAGACCCUCAUCUUUAAUUGCAACCAGUAAGUCCGCUUAUUGGGCACAUUAAAGAAACCGCUGGCGAUAAGUCAGAGGAAGGCGAGGGCAACGGUAGGUCAGUAUGCCCUGAAUCCUCCGGGCUACACGCGCGCUACAAAGGAUAGGACAAUAGGCUUCGACACCGAGAGGUGAAGGUAAUCCUGAAACCUAUUCGUAGUUCGGAUCGAGGGUUGAAACUCACCCUCGUGAAGCUGGGAUCCGUAGUAAUCGCGGAUCAACAUCCCGCGGUGAAUAUGCCCCUGCUCCUUGCACACACCGCCCGUCAAACCAUGCGAGUUGGGUUUGAGUGAGGAUGCAGUUAUUGCUGCGUUCAAACUCAGGGUUGGCAAGCGGGGUUAAGUCGUAACAA